UACGUAGGGGGCAAGCGUUGUCCGGAUUUAUUGGGCGUAAAGAGCGUGUAGGCGGCCAAGCAGGUCCGCUGUGAAAACUCGAGGCUCAACCUCGAGACGUCGGUGGGAACCGUUUGGCUAGAGUCCGGAAGAGGAGAGUGGAAUUCCCGGUGUAGCGGUGAAAUGCGCAGAUAUCGGGAAGAACACCCGUGGCGAAGGCGGCUCUCUGGGACGGUACUGACGCUGAGACGCGAAAGCGUGGGGAGCGAACAGG
This 253-nucleotide ribosomal RNA is filed under the name uncultured bacterium. RNAcentral describes it as "partial 16S ribosomal RNA". It matches the Rfam family "Bacterial small subunit ribosomal RNA", at positions 524 to 776 of the family's 1533-position model. The record is from RNAcentral.